AAGGCUUUAAGUUAAUUAAACUAAUAACCUUCAAAGCUAUCAAUAAAGGACCACUCUUUAAGCCUUA
This 67-nucleotide transfer RNA is filed under the name Laxta sp. AUS2. Its description in RNAcentral is "tRNA-Trp". Lineage: Eukaryota; Metazoa; Arthropoda; Insecta; Blattodea; Blaberidae. The record is from RNAcentral.